This 460-nucleotide ribosomal RNA is filed under the name uncultured bacterium. RNAcentral's name for it is "partial 16S ribosomal RNA". It matches the Rfam family "Bacterial small subunit ribosomal RNA", at positions 338 to 795 of the family's 1533-position model. The record is from RNAcentral.
CCUACGGGUGGCAGCAGUGAGGAAUAUUGGUCAAUGGGCGCGAGCCUGAACCAGCCAAGCCGCGUGAGGGAGGACGGCCCUACGGGUUGUAAACCUCUUUUGCCGGGGCGCAACGGGCGCCACGUGGGGCGUCACCGAGAGUACCCGGAGAAAAAGCAUCGGCUAACUCCGUGCCAGCAGCCGCGGUAAUACGGAGGAUGCGAGCGUUAUCCGGAAUUAUUGGGUUAAAAGGGUGCGUAGGCGGAUCGGUAAGUCAACGGUGAAAUUGAGGGGCUCAACCCCUUCCCGCCAUUGAAACUGGCGUUCUUGAGUGGAGGAGAGGUAUGCGGAAUGCGUGGUGUAGCGGUGAAAUGCAUAGAUAUCACGCAGAACCCCGAUUGCGAAGGCAGCAUGCCGGCUUCCGACUGACGCUGAAGCACGAAAGCGUGGGGAUCGAACAGGAUUAGAUACCCGAGUAGUC